RNAcentral lists this ribosomal RNA (386 nucleotides) under Doenitzius pruvus. RNAcentral describes it as "partial 16S ribosomal RNA". The record is from RNAcentral. Lineage: Eukaryota; Metazoa; Arthropoda; Arachnida; Araneae; Linyphiidae.
AAAAACAUUUCUUAUACAAUAAUUAUAAGUAACUUCUGCUCCAUGUAUAUACAAAUAGCCGCAGAAUUAUAACUGUGCUAAGGUAGCAUAAUCAUUUACCUUUUAAUUAAAGGUCUGUAUGAAAGAAUACACAUUUAAAUUACUUUUUUAUUUAAAAUUUAUUAAAUUUUAAUUAAAAAUAAAAAUGUUUUUAUAAAAAAGAAAGACGAUAAGACCCUAAUGAACUUUACUACAGUUAAGCUGGGGAAGCUAAUUAAAUAUAAUUUUAAUUUAGGUACAAAAAAAUCUAAUAGCAUUAAAUUCAAACAAGUUACCGUAGGGAUAACAGCGUAAUAUAUUUUUAAAGCUCUUAUUAAAAAAAAAGCUUACGACCUCGAUGUUGAAUU